Molecule: ribosomal RNA, 466 nt
Filed under: uncultured bacterium
Lineage: Bacteria
Description: bacterial SSU rRNA
Rfam family: Bacterial small subunit ribosomal RNA
Source: RNAcentral
GAUGAACGCUGGUGGUAUGCCUAACACAUGCAAGUCGAACGGAACCUUCGGGUUUAGUGGCGGACGGGUGAGUAACGCGCGAGAAUCUGCCUUCAGGAUGGGGACAACAAUUGGAAACGAUUGCUAAUACCCGAUAUGACGAAAGUUGAAAGAUUUAUCGCCUGGAGAUGAGCUCGCGUCAGAUUAGCUAGAUGGUGUGGUAAAGGCGCACCUUGGCGACGAUCUGUAGCUGGUCUGAGAGGAUGAGCAGCCACACUGGGACUGAGACACGGCCCAGACUCCUACGGGAGGCAGCAGUGGGGAAUUUUCCGCAAUGGGCGCAAGCCUGACGGAGCAAUACCGCGUGAGGGAGGAAGGCUCUUGGGUCGUAAACCUCUUUUCUCAGGGAAGAACAAAAUGACGGUACCUGAGGAAUCAGCAUCGGCUAACUCCGUGCCAGCAGCCGCGGUAAUACGGAGGAUGCAAG